RNAcentral lists this ribosomal RNA (467 nucleotides) under uncultured bacterium. RNAcentral describes it as "partial 16S ribosomal RNA". It matches the Rfam family "Bacterial small subunit ribosomal RNA", at positions 28 to 506 of the family's 1533-position model. The record is from RNAcentral.
GACGAACGCUGGCGGCGUGCUUAACACAUGCAAGUCGAACGGAAAGGCCCUGCUUUUGUGGGGUGCUCGAGUGGCGAACGGGUGAGUAACACGUGAGUAACCUGCCCUUGACUUUGGGAUAACUUCAGGAAACUGGGGCUAAUACCGGAUAGGAGCUCCUGCUGCAUGGUGGGGGUUGGAAAGUUUCGGCGGUUGGGGAUGGACUCGCGGCUUAUCAGCCUGUUGGUGGGGUAGUGGCUUACCAAGGCUUUGACGGGUAGCCGGCCUGUAAGGGUGACCGGCCACAUUGGGACGGAGAGACGGCCCAGACACCUACGGGAGGCAGGAGUGGGGAAGAUUGCACAAUGGGCGGAAGCCUGAUGCAGCAACGCCGGGUGCGGGAGGACGGCCUUCGGGUUGUAAGCCGCUUUCGCCUGUGACGAAGCGUGAGUGACGGUAAUGGGUAAAGAAGCACCGGCUAACUACGU